UACAGUAACCAUAUCACCCUGCAACUCACAAUAGGAAACCCACUGAAGCUAAGCAGGUGUGAGCCUGGUCAGUACCUGGAUGGGAGACCUCCUGGGAAAAACUAAGGUUGCUGCUGGAA
Molecule: ribosomal RNA, 119 nt
Organism: Lepisosteus oculatus (spotted gar)
Lineage: Eukaryota; Metazoa; Chordata; Actinopteri; Semionotiformes; Lepisosteidae
Source: Ensembl